RNAcentral lists this small RNA (68 nucleotides) under Williamsia sp. 1138. RNAcentral's name for it is "ASdes TB sRNA". It matches the Rfam family "ASdes TB sRNA". Lineage: Bacteria; Bacillati; Actinomycetota; Actinomycetes; Mycobacteriales; Nocardiaceae. The record is from Rfam by way of RNAcentral.
GCAGCUUCGGGGUCCAUGAGCCGCGAGACGACCAGGUAGUCACGCAACGCGAUGGCGUGCCGGUUGUC